GAGUUUGAGUCUGGCUCAGGAUAAACGCUGGCGGCGCACAUAGGACAUGCAAGUCGAACGGACUUAAUCUUAAUAUUUAUAUUGAGAAGCGGUUAGUGGCGGACUGGUGAGUAACGCGUAAGCAAUCUGCCUAUUAGAGGGGAAUAACAGUGAGAAAUCAUUGCUAAUACCGCAUAUGCCAUAAGAAUCACAUGGUUCUAGUGGGAAAGGAGUAAUCCGCUAAUAGAUGAGCUUGCGUCUGAUUAGCUAGUUGGUGUGGUAAUGGCACACCAAGGCAACGAUCAGUAGCCGGACUGAGAGGUUGAACGGCCACAUUGGGACCGAGAUACGGCCCAGACUCCUACGGGAGGCAGCAGUCGGGGAAUAUUGCGCAAUGGAGGAAACUCUGACGCAGUGACGCCGCGUAUAGGAAGAAGGUUUUCGGAUUGUAAACUAUUGUCGUUAGGGAAGAUAAAAGACAGUACCUAAGGAGGAAGCUCCGGCUAACUACGUG
RNAcentral lists this ribosomal RNA (493 nucleotides) under uncultured Eubacteriales bacterium. RNAcentral describes it as "bacterial SSU rRNA". It matches the Rfam family "Bacterial small subunit ribosomal RNA", at positions 9 to 507 of the family's 1533-position model. The record is from RNAcentral. Lineage: Bacteria; Bacillati; Bacillota; Clostridia; Eubacteriales.